UGGGAUUUCAUGAACGUAAUAAAAGAUUUGGGAUUCUUGUAAACUGAAAAUGAUUUUCUACUUCUCGUGGUAACAAGUUUUAAAAGGAAAAGGUUUCCUUGUGGGAAACGACUUUUAAAAGGUUUUCUUUUUUGUUUUCAUGACUUAGUGUUUUAAAACGAGUUUUCGGGUAGGAAACAUUUUAAACUAACAGAUGUGGAUUUAUGGAUAAUUAUGAUAAAAUGAAUGCGAAUGUGAAUGGUAUAUAACUUUGUGGAUGUUCAUAUGUGUGGUUGUAGCCUGUAUUGCGAUUGUUGUACUUGUGCGACGCUGUGCAAAUACAGAGGAGACUCUGUUCGUGUGAACAGUAGACUUCCUGUAUUUGUGGCGGAUCUGGUAUACCCUGUGGUCAGGUUUUUCCAAAAAAAUGUUGGGGCACUUUCGCUUUACUUUUAAAUCAAAAAGGGACCCUGGGGCGUGACACCAAGCCUUUUGCCACUUGCGCUAGGGACGGUCGGUAUCCUAAUCCUAAUCUUCAUGUAAGAUUC
This 527-nucleotide long non-coding RNA is filed under the name Ananas comosus (pineapple). RNAcentral's name for it is "long non-coding RNA (ACOM_LNC023192)". Lineage: Eukaryota; Viridiplantae; Streptophyta; Magnoliopsida; Poales; Bromeliaceae. The record is from RNAcentral.